UACGUAGGGUGCGAGCGUUGUCCGGAAUUAUUGGGCGUAAAGAGCUUGUAGGCGGUUUGUCGCGUCUGCCGUGAAAUUUCGAGGCUCAACCUCGAACUUGCGGUGGGUACGGGCAGACUAGAGUGUGGUAGGGGAGACUGGAAUUCCUGGUGUAGCGGUGAAAUGCGCAGAUAUCAGGAGGAACACCGAUGGCGAAGGCAGGUCUCUGGGCAUUAACUGACGCUGAGGAGCGAAAGCAUGGGGAGCGAACAGG
RNAcentral lists this ribosomal RNA (253 nucleotides) under uncultured bacterium. RNAcentral describes it as "partial 16S ribosomal RNA". It matches the Rfam family "Bacterial small subunit ribosomal RNA", at positions 524 to 776 of the family's 1533-position model. The record is from RNAcentral.